This 604-nucleotide ribosomal RNA is filed under the name uncultured fungus. Its description in RNAcentral is "eukaryotic LSU rRNA". The stretch from base 213 to 367 matches the Rfam family "5.8S ribosomal RNA". Lineage: Eukaryota; Fungi. The record is from RNAcentral.
GGAAGGAUCAUUACUGAAUUGUCAACACGAGUUGUUGCUGGUCCUCAUAUGGGGGCAUGUGCACGCUCUGUUUGCACAUCCAUUCACACCUGUGCACCUUCUGUGGUUCUAUAGCUUGGGGGAUGCUGUCUUCCUGCUGUGGUUCUGCAUCUUUACACACACACCGUAACAAAGUCUAUGGGAUGUAUGCCGCGUUUAACGCAAUACAAUACAACUUUCAGCAACGGAUCUCUUGGCUCUCGCAUCGAUGAAGAACGCAGCGAAAUGCGAUAAGUAAUGUGAAUUGCAGAAUUCAGUGAAUCAUCGAAUCUUUGAACGCACCUUGCGCCCUUUGGUUAUUCCGGAGGGCAUGCCUGUUUGAGUAUCAUGAACACCUCAACUUCCAUGGUUUGCCAUGGUAGCUUGGACUUUGGAGGUCUUGCUGGCCCACAGUCAGCUCCUCUCAAAUGAAUCAGCUUGCCAGUGUCUGGUGGUUCACAGGUGUGAUAAAUAUCUAUGCCUGUGGUUUCCGCCAGGUAACCUUUGAUGAUGGAGGUUUGCUGGAGCUUACAGAUGUCCCCCCCUCGGUGAGGGUGGCUCUUUGAACGUUUGAUCUCAAAUCAGG